CUUGNGCGAGAGUAGUACUAGGAUGGGUGACCCCCUGGGAAGUCCUCGUGUUGCACCCCCGCCAUACUUUUGCAUCUUCGUUGCCUUUUUGAAAUGAAACGCGCGUACGAGAGAACGUGGAUCAGUACACGCGCACGCGCGACGUAAAGCUCCGAAGUACUAGGAUGGUCCUAACGGUUGGGAAUAUAGGAGUAAAAAGGGAGAACCCUANCGGGUGCNAU
Molecule: unclassified non-coding RNA, 221 nt
Filed under: Polyscias crenata
Lineage: Eukaryota; Viridiplantae; Streptophyta; Magnoliopsida; Apiales; Araliaceae
Source: RNAcentral